CAGUCGCCGCGGGAAUACGUAGGGUGCGAGCGUUAAUCGGAAUUACUGGGCGUAAAGCGUGCGCAGGCGGUUAUAUAAGACAGAUGUGAAAUCCCCGGGCUCAACCUGGGACCUGCAUUUGUGACUGUAUAGCUAGAGUACGGUAGAGGGGGAUGGAAUUCCGCGUGUAGCAGUGAAAUGCGUAGAUAUGCGGAGGAACACCGAUGGCGAAGGCAAUCACCUGGACCUGUACUGACGCUCAUGCACGAAAGCGUGGGGAGCAAACAGGAUUAGAUACCCCGGUAGUCCCUGUCUCUUAUAC
This 301-nucleotide ribosomal RNA is filed under the name uncultured bacterium. RNAcentral describes it as "partial 16S ribosomal RNA". It matches the Rfam family "Bacterial small subunit ribosomal RNA", at positions 509 to 807 of the family's 1533-position model. The record is from RNAcentral.